GCACUCUUAACGGGAAUAAAUGGUUUAUCUUUUCAGAUCUGUAUAUUGCUGCACAAACAUACCUCUGGGAAAAGGCUGCAAAAUUUCUGGCUACCUUCUAAAUCCCACACUGAAGACUCACUUGGAAAGAAGAAAAGACACAAAAUGUUGUUCUGGCUCUCUAAGUGAAGGUUGUGUAUUCUGCACCUCCAAGGUCAGACAAACAUCCUUCCAAAGCCUCCAGCUCCGAUUCUGUUUCUUCAAGCACAAGAGCUCACAGGAAAGUGCAUAGGAAUGGAGAUUGAUUUAAGCUCUACUGCACAAGGAGGGGAGAAAUCUGGUGGAUGGUCCCACAAAUGUCAUUGACAAGUGAAUUAACCAAGAAGAGUUUGUCUUCAGGACAGCCACAUCGGCUGGAGCUUGAAAAUUCCUCCUAGUGACCUGCAUCAAAGUAGUGCUCAAGUUGCUCCAAGGACCUCUUCUCCAUCUGGACUCCUAAAUCCAUCUGCAUCAUGUCCUGCAAAAGCCAGGAAAAGCAAGAAAAAUGUGGGGACAAAUGCACAUCCCUGAUAUAUCAAACUUCCCUGGAGAUCAAGGGCCAGAGCACAGUGUGAUUCCCCAGCCUCAGGGUUCCUCUGAAGUAGAACAGAGCAACAGGUGGUGGCUGUUAAUGUGCUGAAUGUGGCUUCCCUCUGUGUCCGGCCAUGGAAAACAAAGCAAGCGAGCGGAUCCAUGCCAAACACUUUGCAAGCAUGGAGCUUACACAAUUGGGCUCCACCCACAUGCCUCACAUGGGAAUUUUCUCCCUCACCAGCUGGGUUAAGAUCACAAGAUGGGAAAAAGGAGAGGGGGUGAAAAAAAAAGAGAGCUGGAGUUGUUUUCUUUCCAUUGUGGCUCCUCAGCUGAAAGUUCCUUUGCAAGAGAAUAAUAGAAUAAAGAUGAGAGCGAACACUGCUGAUGGCUCAAAAUCUGGCACCAAAGUUUAUUUUUUCUAAGCAGUCUGAGCCUGAACAGUCUUGUCAGACAAUGUCAACAGAGGUGAAAAAAAAUGACGAAAAUCAUUGAAUCUAGUUCGGCUCAAAAAUGAAAUAAAUGCACCAGACAGGGUAAGUAUACGGCCAUUAAAAAUGGCAUAACCCUGACUGAAAACUGAACACCCUCAUAUGUAUUUUGUACUCUCAAAGGCUUAUCAUGCCAGCUGUAUUUUUGAGUGAGCUAAGUGUCUACUUGUAUGAAAUGAAUGUGAGUAGGCACACAUGAGCUUUCUCAUCAGUGUCCAUACUCAUAGCCGGGCACGUAUUGAAGUCUCUCAACUCAGCUUGUUACAGCUAUCAUGGUGCAGAGCCUGAAAAUGCCUCUUCUCCGAGACCAGACAAACGCGAACUGACAAGCACUGUAUUUUGCCCUUAAGGCUCCUGUCCAUGGUGAUGCAUCGUCAGUUAUUCUCUGUAAAAAUCUCUGCCCCCCCACCCCACGUGUGCUUGCCUCUUUCCUUAGUGUUUUGCCUAAUUUGGAAGCAGGUAUAAUUCAUGGGAAACACUGACUCCGCUCCAGCACCGAUGUCUUCAUGCUCAGGAGGAAGAUACGUGGGAUCAGUAAAAGGCAGGUAGGAUUUGAGAGCCCCAGCCUUAGAAAAAAAGGGAUAGAGACCCACAGCAUGUUGGUGCUGCUCUGUGUGCCUCACCCAUGGAAAUCAAUUUCCUGUUGAAUGGUGCCUGUAGUCAAGAACUGGAUGCUCAAAGUCCCAUUGUAGCCUGACACAGUGGAAAUAAAACCCGAGGACAAUACAGAUGCUGAUGUCUUUACUUGCUUUGAUAACAAUGACACCAGUAAACAAUGAUGUUUAAGUGCACUUGCAUGGUUCUUAAAUUAAAAACAAGAUAGCCAAGGGCAGUGAGAAGUCGCUAGCAUUCCUGAGACUGGCACAGAGAAAGGCCUCUUACAUACUUCAAGCUGGAAACAAACCCCACAGUGUGAGGAUGACCACGGUACUUUUGUAAGGGGGUGACAGCUUCCAGGCUCUCAAUUCUGUUGUGAUUCCCAUUCCACAAAACUCCAUUUACAUAGUCACAAGAGCAGCAGGGCUUAAGGCUAGGGCACUACAACAUGUUUGAUGCAGGCACUGAGACCUGUUCUCUGUGGGUGCUUCAGAAGAGAAAGAAAAUGGAGUGCUAAAAAACCUCUCCCUGCUUUCCUCCUUUCAUUUUACAGAAAAAGAAAAGGCUAAAGGCUCUGCUGGAGUGACUCCAUUGACUCCCAUGGCUUCCAUGGGCUUCAAUUUGCAAAACAGACAGAAGAAGAGAAAACCCUUCCUCCACCUCUUUCCCCUGCAAUUCUUGAAAGUGACAUCUGUGCAGUGCUGCAGGAAAGAUUACACAUCUUAGUCUUAUUUUUUUUUUACCCUGCCACUCCCAAUUUACUCAUGCCCACUAUCAUAAUAUUAAUUUUUAGCAAGGAGGAGCAAGGAGUGCUCCCCUGGGCCAGUGUGGUUCUCUGGCACAGAGUAGCCACUUGAGGGGAGAGGGAGGCCAGUGGGGUAGAGGUGGCUGCUGCUCCAACAGGAUCUGCCUUUCUCACUAAGGACCGGGGGCAUCUGUCCCACGAGUCUGUCCAGCAGAGUCCCAGCACAUCCCUCAGUACCCAAAGCUGGCACUGCUUUGUCUUGCCACCACCUCUUCUUCCCACCCCCGGACUCUUUGACCCACCUCCCCUGGACCCAUUUCCCUUCUCGAAAAAUCCAUCCAUUUAUUUCCAAUUACAAACCACACCACAUAACACAAACAUAAUUGCUUAAAAGUUGUUCCACAUUUGAUUCACAUGCAUUAUGCAUCCUGUAAAUUAUGUACGACCUCCUCUUUUUUUUUUUUUUUUUGAGGAAUAUUAUUGUAGUUCCCUCUCUUGAUAUAAGGAUAGUUUUACAGUUAGAAUCAAAACCUAAUUCAUUUACAAUACCUGUCUCCUGAGGAUCACAACAUAAUGACAUUGGAACAGUAAAAAGACUACGCAGGGUUUUCACUUCAAUCAUAGCUGUUCUAUAAAGAAAAGAAACUUACAGAAACCACCAAGAGAGAUGGUGAUUUAUAUCCAGUAGGAUACAAUAUAGCUGAAGAUGACUUUCUUGCUUAAACAAGGAAGGAAAAAAUGAACUCAUAUGUAUGAUGUAAAUAGACUUAACCAUGGGUGGCUGUGGUUUACUAUAAAUAUUCAAUUCAUUAUGGCUGCAGAGACGUACAGCUCCUACUGCGUGUUGGUGUUCUCGCCUGUAUCUGUCACUUGCUCAUGUUUGUCAUAAGCCAGAACCCUCUUUUAUUUUAACACCCUCCCCCUUUUUUUUUUUUCCACUGGUCCAGGAAUCAACACAUUUGGGAAUUUUUUUAAAAAGCUUUGGACCUCUUAAUGGUAAAGAUCUCAUUGAAGGAGGUUUUUCAGCAAUGGAAAAAAAACCAUGGGCCUGUGAGUUCGGAUCCCGUGAUGCAUCGCUCCUUGAAGUUACAUCUGCUCUUCUCUUUCAUCUCUCCUCUUGUUAACUGGGAGCUGUCACAUUAGGAGUUUUGGUGGAAGUGGCAUAAAGGAAGGAAAGAGAGACUGAUACACUGUGUCAUGACAAAACAGGCAGAGUAAGAGUGCCUUUGCAGUCACCUAUCAUCCAUGGACUACGUGCUGCUGGCCCAAACAUCAGGUCUGGUCUGAUUUUUUAAAUAUUCCUUUAAUAAAACAGUGCUAUUAUUUUUAUGUAGCUAUUAAUCACACUUCUCUUAGCAAUCCUUUUUAUUCCUUCUGCUCCAUGGAUGGUAAAGAUCCAAGCAAUGAAGUCAUGAUAGGUAGCUAUCAACAGAAAUCACUAAAGAAGUAAAGUCUAAGGCUGACCUCCUGUUUGGUGGAAAAGCAUAGAGUGCAGCAUGUGAAGCAACGUGCUGCUAUCUGAGAGCAUACACUUCUGCAGGCAAGGAGAGAUGUGGGUGGACAUGGAAAGUUGUGUGCAUGUGAAUCCAUGCACAUAUGUGCACACAAACUGUUUUUCAUGAUUGAGUGUUGCCAGAUGCUCUUUGGCUAUGACACCUCCUCACCAGCAAUCCAUGCAGCAGUGCUGGCAUGGACUCUGGAGGGCCAUUCGUGUGUUCUGCCAGGGGGUGACAAUGUGCCAAAGCAGAGACCAAGCCAGUGAGUGAAGGAGAUGAUUAAAAUGGGAAUUAUGAAACUUGCUUCUUGAUAAUGUCAGCCCUGGCCUGGUGCUUAACAUUUGGAGGUGCUUGGGAAAACUUGGGUGUUUUGGUACAAGCAAAGACUUUCACUUUUCACUCCCCAUCAGAAUUUUAUUUUCAUUAUCAGUCCAGAGAACUCCACCCAGGAAUGAGGCUUUUUAGAUUAACCGUGGUUGAACAGGAAACAUGG
Long non-coding RNA from Pseudopipra pipra, 4371 nucleotides. RefSeq lists it as uncharacterized. The transcript has 5 exons. The record is from RefSeq and is a predicted model, not a curated record. NCBI's taxonomy places the organism in Eukaryota, Metazoa, Chordata, Aves, Passeriformes, Pipridae.